Molecule: long non-coding RNA, 553 nt
Filed under: Struthio camelus australis
Lineage: Eukaryota; Metazoa; Chordata; Aves; Struthioniformes; Struthionidae
Description: lncRNA (ENSSCUG00000011832.1)
Source: RNAcentral
UAAUUCCUAUAAAUGCAGCUGGAAGAUAGCUGACAGGAAAUAAUAGGGAUAAGCUUGUCUCCCUCUUCCUGUCUGCGAGUUCAGUUACUAUGUGUGUAAGACUUACGGGCUUUAAUUCUGGUCUGUAGGAAAGUACCUCAAUCCACUUGGGUUUGAAGACAUCUGAAGAUGUUCGGGAUGUUUGAGUGCUGGUGAAGAUCAGACUACAGACUCUUCUAAGUGGAUGGUCUCCAUUCCUCCUGUCAAGGUGAAAAAGGAAAUUAACUUGGGUCUCCCAUACUCCAGGCUAACGUGAAGCCUUGGGAAGAGUCCACUGCAUUCCUGUCCACCUCUGCAGCUUGGUGUGGAUCACCUAGAGAUGACUGAAGAUACUUUGUGCCCUCCUUGCUGCUCCAACCUCUGCAAUUGUACUGCUUUUUUAAGGUAACAUAACUUGACCAUCAUGCUGUCUGCUUACCUACAAGUAUUAGCCAAAACCGGUUAAAAAAAUACACCAACAAACUGCUUUCGUGUUCUCGGAUUCACGAAUUAUGGCCUUUGCAUUGCAUUCAUG